AUUGAACGCUGAAGGCAGGCCUAACACAUGCAAGUCGAGCGGAUGAAGGGAGCUUGCUCCUGGAUUCAGCGGCGGACGGGUGAGUAAUGCCUAGGAAUCUGCCUGGUAGUGGGGGAUAACGUCCGGAAACGGGCGCUAAUACCGCAUACGUCCUGAGGGAGAAAGUGGGGGAUCUUCGGACCUCACGCUAUCAGAUGAGCCUAGGUCGGAUUAGCUAGUUGGUGGGGUAAAGGCCUACCAAGGCGACGAUCCGUAACUGGUCUGAGAGGAUGAUCAGUCACACUGGAACUGAGACACGGUCCAGACUCCUACGGGAGGCAGCAGUGGGGAAUAUUGGACAAUGGGCGAAAGCCUGAUCCAGCCAUGCCGCGUGUGUGAAGAAGGUCUUCGGAUUGUAAAGCACUUUAAGUUGGGAGGAAGGGCAGUAAGUUAAUACCUUGCCGUUUUGACGUUACCAACAGAAUAAGCACCGGCUAACUUCGUG
RNAcentral lists this ribosomal RNA (484 nucleotides) under uncultured bacterium. RNAcentral describes it as "partial 16S ribosomal RNA". It matches the Rfam family "Bacterial small subunit ribosomal RNA", at positions 30 to 507 of the family's 1533-position model. The record is from RNAcentral.